RNAcentral lists this transfer RNA (58 nucleotides) under Ricinus sp. ADS-2020. Its description in RNAcentral is "tRNA-Asp". Lineage: Eukaryota; Metazoa; Arthropoda; Insecta; Psocodea; Ricinidae. The record is from RNAcentral.
UAGGAUUUAGUUAAAUUAUAAUAUCAUUUUGUCAAAAUGAAGUUUCUUAUAAUCCUAA